CCUCCCUUCACAUGUCAGAAAUCCAUUAGAGAUUAUGUCGUCCCUUUAGGAGUGGCCCCAACACAGGUGCUGCAUGGCUGUCGUCAGCUCGUGUCGUGAGAUGUUGGGUUAAGUCCCGCAACGAGCGCACCCCUCGCCGUUAGUCGCCAGCAUUUAGUUGGGCACUUUAAGGGGACUGCCGGUGACAAACCGAAGGAAGGAGGGGAUGACGUCAAGUCAUCAUGGCCCUUAUGGCGGGGGGUACACACCUCCUACAAUGGUGGGGGCAAAGGGGUCGCCAACCCGCGACGGGGAGCUAAUCCCACAAAACCCAUCUCAGUCCGGAUUGCAGUCUGCAACUCGAGUGCAUGAAGUCGGAAUCGCUAGUAAUCGCGGAUCAGCAUGUUGCGGUGAAUACGUUCCCGGGCCUUGUACACACCGCCCGUCACACCAUGGGAG
This 438-nucleotide ribosomal RNA is filed under the name uncultured bacterium. RNAcentral describes it as "bacterial SSU rRNA". It matches the Rfam family "Bacterial small subunit ribosomal RNA", at positions 975 to 1410 of the family's 1533-position model. The record is from RNAcentral.